UCACCCCCUAAAGCAUGCCCCGUGCUGCCUAAUCGUCCAUUCUUCCGUCGUAGUUUCCCCCUAAUUUUACCC
This 72-nucleotide transfer RNA is filed under the name uncultured Nitzschia. Its description in RNAcentral is "Selenocysteine transfer RNA". The record is from RNAcentral. Lineage: Eukaryota; Bacillariophyta; Bacillariophyceae; Bacillariales; Bacillariaceae.